CCUACGGGAGGCAGCAGUGAGGAAUAUUGGUCAAUGGGCGCGAGCCUGAACCAGCCAAGUAGCGUGAAGGAUGACGGCCCUACGGGUUGUAAACUUCUUUUAUAAAGGAAUAAAGUGAGGCACGUGUGCCUUUUUGUAUGUACUUUAUGAAUAAGGAACGGCGAACUCCGUUCCAGCAGCCGCGGUAAUAGGGAGGAUGCGAACGUUAUCCGGCUUUAUGGGGGUAAAGGGGUUGGUAGGCGGAAGGGCAAGUCAGCGGGAAAAUCGCGGGGCUAAACCUCGAUCUGCAGUUGAGACUGGCGGUGUUGAGUGGGCUAGAGGGAUGCAGAAUGCGUGGUGUAGCGGUGAAAUGCAUAGAUAUCACGCAGAACUCCGAUUGCGAAGGCAGCAUACCGGCGCCCAACUGACGCUGAAGCACGAAAGCGUGGGUAUCGAACAGGAUUAGAUACCCGGGUAGUC
This 459-nucleotide ribosomal RNA is filed under the name uncultured bacterium. RNAcentral describes it as "partial 16S ribosomal RNA". It matches the Rfam family "Bacterial small subunit ribosomal RNA", at positions 338 to 795 of the family's 1533-position model. The record is from RNAcentral.